UACGAAGGGGGCUAGCGUUGCUCGGAAUCACUGGGCGUAAAGGGUGCGUAGGCGGGUCUUUAAGUCAGGGGUGAAAUCCUGGAGCUCAACUCCAGAACUGCCUUUGAUACUGAAGAUCUUGAGUUCGGGAGAGGUGAGUGGAACUGCGAGUGUAGAGGUGAAAUUCGUAGAUAUUCGCAAGAACACCAGUGGCGAAGGCGGCUCACUGGCCCGAUACUGACGCUGAGGCGCGAAAGCGUGGGGAGCGAUCCGG
Molecule: ribosomal RNA, 253 nt
Filed under: uncultured bacterium
Lineage: Bacteria
Description: partial 16S ribosomal RNA
Rfam family: Bacterial small subunit ribosomal RNA
Source: RNAcentral